AUUCCAGCUCCAAUAGCGUAUAUUUAAGUUGUUGCAGUUAAAAAGCUCGUAGUUGGAUUUUGGGUGCGGCAGGCCGGUCCGCCGUUUCGGUGUGCACUGGCAGGCGGCAUCUUUCUGUCGAGGACGCGCUCUCGCCUUUACUGGUGGGACGCGGAGUCGGCGCAGUUACUUUGAAAAAAUUAGAGUGUUCAAAGCGGGCCUACGCUUGAAUAUAUUAGCAUGGAAUAACACUAUAGGACUCCUGUCCUAUUCUGUUGGUCUUCGGGAUGGGAGUAAUGAUUAACAGGGACAGUCAGGGGCACUCGUAUUCCGCCGAGAGUGGUGAAAUUCUCAGACCAGCGGAAGACGAACCACUGCGAAAGCAUUUGCCAGGGAUGUUUUCAUUG
This 386-nucleotide ribosomal RNA is filed under the name Dolichomastigaceae sp. RNAcentral's name for it is "partial small subunit ribosomal RNA". It matches the Rfam family "Eukaryotic small subunit ribosomal RNA", at positions 582 to 975 of the family's 1831-position model. Lineage: Eukaryota; Viridiplantae; Chlorophyta; Mamiellophyceae; Dolichomastigales; Dolichomastigaceae. The record is from RNAcentral.